GCUUGUGUGCUUGUUCGGUGCGGACCUGGUACGUUUUAUGUGAAGCAGCAGCUGAGGAGACUCUGGCACUCACCAUGGCCGACGAAAAGCCUAUGGAAGGAGUCAAGACUGAGAACAACUAUCAUAUUAAUUUGAAGGUGGCGGGGCAGGAUGGUUCUGUGGUACAGUUUAAGAUUAAGAAGCAUACACCACUUAGUAAACUAAUGAAAGCCUAUUGUGAACGACAGGGUUUGUCAAGGAGGCAGAUCAGAUUCCGAUUUGAUGGGCAGCCAAUCAAUGAAACAGACACACCUGCACAGUUGGAAAUGGAGGCUGAGGAUACAAUUGAUGUGUUCCAGCAGCAGACAGGAGGUGUCUACUAAAAAGGGAACCUGCUACUUUACUCCAGAACUCUAUUCCUCCAGACCAAGAAGACAUUCUCAAUUAAAAAGCCGCA
Molecule: non-coding RNA, 436 nt
Organism: Leptonychotes weddellii (Weddell seal)
Lineage: Eukaryota; Metazoa; Chordata; Mammalia; Carnivora; Phocidae
Source: RefSeq, a predicted model, not a curated record